Molecule: ribosomal RNA, 1479 nt
Filed under: uncultured bacterium
Lineage: Bacteria
Description: bacterial SSU rRNA
Rfam family: Bacterial small subunit ribosomal RNA
Source: RNAcentral
UGAUUCUGGCUCAGGAUGAACGCUAGCUACAGGCUUAACACAUGCAAGUCGAGGGGCAGCAUGGUCUUAGCUUGCUAAGACUGAUGGCGACCGGCGCACGGGUGAGUAACACGUAUCCAACCUGCCGUCUACUCUUGGACAGCCUUCUGAAAGGAAGAUUAAUACAAGAUGGCAUCAUGAGUCCGCAUGUUCACAUGAUUAAAGGUAUUCCGGUAGACGAUGGGGAUGCGUUCCAUUAGAUAGUAGGCGGGGUAACGGCCCACCUAGUCUUCGAUGGAUAGGGGUUCUGAGAGGAAGGUCCCCCACAUUGGAACUGAGACACGGUCCAAACUCCUACGGGAGGCAGCAGUGAGGAAUAUUGGUCAAUGGGCGAGAGCCUGAACCAGCCAAGUAGCGUGAAGGAUGACUGCCCUAUGGGUUGUAAACUUCUUUUAUAAAGGAAUAAAGUCGGGUAUGCAUACCCGUUUGCAUGUACUUUAUGAAUAAGGAUCGGCUAACUCCGUGCCAGCAGCCGCGGUAAUACGGAGGAUCCGAGCGUUAUCCGGAUUUAUUGGGUUUAAAGGGAGCGUAGAUGGAUGUUUAAGUCAGUUGUGAAAGUUUGCGGCUCAACCGUAAAAUUGCAGUUGAUACUGGAUAUCUUGAGUGCAGUUGAGGCAGGCGGAAUUCGUGGUGUAGCGGUGAAAUGCUUAGAUAUCACGAAGAACUCCGAUUGCGAAGGCAGCCUGCUAAGCUGCAACUGACAUUGAGGCUCGAAAGUGUGGGUAUCAAACAGGAUUAGAUACCCUGGUAGUCCACACGGUAAACGAUGAAUACUCGCUGUUUGCGAUAUACAGCAAGCGGCCAAGCGAAAGCGUUAAGUAUUCCACCUGGGGAGUACGCCGGCAACGGUGAAACUCAAAGGAAUUGACGGGGGCCCGCACAAGCGGAGGAACAUGUGGUUUAAUUCGAUGAUACGCGAGGAACCUUACCCGGGCUUAAAUUGCAGAUGAAUUACGGUGAAAGCCGUAAGCCGCAAGGCAUCUGUGAAGGUGCUGCAUGGUUGUCGUCAGCUCGUGCCGUGAGGUGUCGGCUUAAGUGCCAUAACGAGCGCAACCCUUGUUGUCAGUUACUAACAGGUUCCGCUGAGGACUCUGACAAGACUGCCAUCGUAAGAUGUGAGGAAGGUGGGGAUGACGUCAAAUCAGCACGGCCCUUACGUCCGGGGCUACACACGUGUUACAAUGGGGGGUACAGAGGGCCGCUACCACGCGAGUGGAUGCCAAUCCCAAAAACCUCUCUCAGUUCGGACUGGAGUCUGCAACCCGACUCCACGAAGCUGGAUUCGCUAGUAAUCGCGCAUCAGCCACGGCGCGGUGAAUACGUUCCCGGGCCUUGUACACACCGCCCGUCAAGCCAUGGGAGCCGGGGGUACCUGAAGUGCGUAACCGCGAGGAGCGCCCUAGGGUAAAACUGGUGACUGGGGCUAAGUCGUAACAAGGU